RNAcentral lists this ribosomal RNA (503 nucleotides) under uncultured bacterium. RNAcentral describes it as "partial 16S ribosomal RNA". It matches the Rfam family "Bacterial small subunit ribosomal RNA", at positions 30 to 523 of the family's 1533-position model. The record is from RNAcentral.
AUUGAACGCUGGCGGCAGGCUUAACACAUGCAAGUCGAGCGGGGUGAUGGUGCUUGCACUAUCACUUAGCGGCGGACGGGUGAGUAAUGCUUAGGAAUCUGCCUAUUAGUGGGGGACAACAUCUCGAAAGGGAUGCUAAUACCGCAUACGUCCUACGGGAGAAAGCAGGGGAUCACUUGUGACCUUGCGCUAAUAGAUGAGCCUAAGUCGGAUUAGCCAGUUGGUGGGGUAAAGGCCUACCAAGGCGACGAUCUGUAGCGGGUCAGAGAGGAUGAUCCGCCACACUGGGACUGAGACACGGCCCAGACUCCUACGGGAGGCAGCAGUGGGGAAUAUUGGACAAUGGGGGGAACCCUGAUCCAGCCAUGCCGCGUGUGUGAAGAAGGCCUUAUGGUUGUAAGGCACUUUAAGCGAGGAGGAGGCUCUUUUGGUUAAUACCCAAGAUGAGUGGACGUUACUCGCAGAAUAAGCACCGGCUAACUCUGUGCCAGCCGCCGCCGUAA